This 261-nucleotide long non-coding RNA is filed under the name Ananas comosus (pineapple). Its description in RNAcentral is "long non-coding RNA (ACOM_LNC008988)". Lineage: Eukaryota; Viridiplantae; Streptophyta; Magnoliopsida; Poales; Bromeliaceae. The record is from RNAcentral.
UUAUCCGGGCUCACGAAAGGUAUGUUACAGAUUUUAUGUUGGCAUAUUUCGUAAAGUUAGUCGGAGUUUUGAAUGUUUGAAGAAGAAGAGAUGAAGAUCAAAGACUCGAAGACUCAAAACAUGAAUGCACAAUGCUCGGUAAGUUUAAAUACCAUUGAUGAUGAUUUAUAAAUGUUUAAAAGUGUUUGGAAGACUUAGAUUGUAUUAAAAUGCUAAAUCUGAACGUUUUAGUGUUCUGGGACCGGUCCCUGAGAUGAGAGA